This 429-nucleotide ribosomal RNA is filed under the name Chloroflexota bacterium. RNAcentral's name for it is "Chloroflexi bacterium partial 16S ribosomal RNA". It matches the Rfam family "Bacterial small subunit ribosomal RNA", at positions 355 to 776 of the family's 1533-position model. Lineage: Bacteria; Bacillati; Chloroflexota. The record is from RNAcentral.
UGGGGAAUAUUGCACAAUGGGCGCAAGCCUGAUGCAGCCAUGCCGCGUGUGUGAAGCAGGCAUUCGGGCUGUAAAGCACUUUCAGCGGGGAGGAAGGCGUUAAGGUUAAUAACCUUGGCGAUUGACGUUACCCGCAGAAGAAGCACCGGCUAACUCCGUGCCAGCAGCCGCGGUUAUACGGAGGGUGCAAGCGUUACUCGGAAUUACUGUGCGUAAAGCGCACGCAGGCGGUCCGUCAAGUCGGAUGUGAAAUCCCCGGGCUCAACCUGGGAACGGCAUUAGAAACUGGCAGGCUAGAGUCUUGUAGAGGGGGGUAGAAUUCCAGGGGUAGCGGUGGAAUGCGAAGAGAUCUGGAGGAAAACCGGUUGCGAAGGCGGCCCCCUGGACAAAGACUGACGCUCAGGUGCGAAAGCGUGGGGAGCAAACAGG